RNAcentral lists this ribosomal RNA (500 nucleotides) under uncultured bacterium. RNAcentral's name for it is "partial 16S ribosomal RNA". It matches the Rfam family "Bacterial small subunit ribosomal RNA", at positions 30 to 523 of the family's 1533-position model. The record is from RNAcentral.
AUUGAACGCUGGCGGAAUGCUUUACACAUGCAAGUCGAACGGCAGCACGGACUUCGGUCUGGUGGCGAGUGGCGAACGGGUGAGUAAUACAUCGGAACGCGCCCAGUCGUGGGGGAUAACGUAGCGAAAGCUACGCUAAUACCGCAUACGAUCUAAGGAUGAAAGCGGGGGAUCGCAAGACCUCGCGCGAUUGGAGCGGCCGAUGGCAGAUUAGGUAGUUGGUGGGGUAAAGGCCUACCAAGCCGACGAUCUGUAGCUGGUCUGAGAGGAUGAUCAGCCACACUGGGACUGAGACACGGCCCAGACUCCUACGGGAGGCAGCAGUGGGGAAUUUUGGACAAUGGGCGCAAGCCUGAUCCAGCCAUUCCGCGUGCAGGAUGAAGGCCUUCGGGUUGUAAACUGCUUUUGUACAGAACGAAAAGGCUCUGGUUAAUACCCGGGGCUCAUGACGGUACUGUAAGAAUAAGCACCGGCUAACUACGUGCCAGCCGCCGCCGCAG